Oryzias melastigma (Indian medaka) is the source of this 2717-nucleotide long non-coding RNA. RefSeq lists it as uncharacterized. The transcript has 2 exons. The record is from RefSeq and is a predicted model, not a curated record. NCBI's taxonomy places the organism in Eukaryota, Metazoa, Chordata, Actinopteri, Beloniformes, Adrianichthyidae.
AAUAAAAAAAGACCUGGAGGGCUGGAUAUAAUUACCUGGAGGGCCGGAUCCGGCCCCCGGGCCUUGACUUUGACACAUGUGUGCUAUGAAGAUGGAUUCAGAUGUGGAGUUCCCAUGCUAAGACCGUUUACAUCCAGCCUUCCCAUAUAACAGAUUGCAGAAUGAUGGAAACCCAAACUGAGUGUAAGACAGGAAUUGUGGGAAUUUGUGAGGUCUGAACUCUGGAGAUGUUUUGGUUGAUGUAUCUUUGACGGACCGCAGGAAGCUUGUUUUACAAGACCGCUGCAGAAUCCCAAUCAGGUCAGGAUAUUUCUCAACUUUAAUGGGCUGUGAUUGCCAGUUGCUGAUUAAUAUUUACUGCCUGGGGCCAGCACUCAGUGCUGUGUCCAGAUUAAGCAAGAAAAAAAUGCUUGUUUUGGCAGUGCUGUGGCACAGCAGUAGGUAGGCUGUGUGAAUGUGUGCCGUUUGGACUCUAAAGACUAUAAAUUCAUAAAACAAAUGAGGGGAAAGAAAGUGGCCAGAUGCAGAUAGGGAAGACUUCCUCCAACACCUUGGCGACCCGACAGAGGAUCACCAGCUGAGAUCAGAAUCAGAUAUUCAUGUGCAAAUGGAGCCUUAAAUCUCUUAAUCUCACUUGAUCCCCGGCUCGAUCACACCGGCUUAUUUUGCUUCUUAUUCCGUCAGCACCCAAUGCUGCUGACACUCGUCAUACAUGCUUAUUAUACCACAAAUGAUGGAUACAGUAGCUUAUGUGUCAAGGAGUCCUGAGGACGUGGAUCCAAUGACCUUAAAUAACUCUAGAGUUAUAUUCAAAUUGUGUGGUCAUUAAAUGUUGGGGAUUUUUACUUAUCACAAUAAUGGUCAAAUAUUUUCACAGAAGACCAAAUGGGUUUUAAUAUUUGUUUAGAAGUUUUCAUGAAGAUUUUUUUAAGAUAACCUUUUAAUAUCUGUUUUUUUUAUACCCCUUCUGAACUAAAUUGUAGAUAAAACUCAAGUUUUCUCAUUGUUGCUUUAACCCUAUAAAACCCACAAUUCACAGCACAUUCAACUGAUUUUUUUUUUUUAAUUAAGAUGUUUUAUUCAAAAACCUUUGAUGAAGUCCACAAAAUUAUUUGUAUUUUUUUUAAGAUAUAGAAUGAAUCAAUUAUGGCAUGCUGGGUAAUUUGUAAGUCACAACAAAGUUAGCCUAUGAUGCAAAUGAGUGUUUGGGGAAAAACAACAUAUUUAGCCACUGUCAUAAAUUCACACAUUUUUAUGAUUAAUGUAUAUAUUAUAUAUAUAAUUAAUACAUUAAUUACUUUAAACACAAAUUAAAAUAUUUAAUUAUAGCAAGUAGUCAUUAAAAAAAUGAAUAACAAUAGUUAAGUUAAUUUCACCACAAAGUUGGGAAAAUUAGUUAAACUUUUUCCCGCCAAAACUGUUCACACUGUAUAUGAAAGCGGCGUCUAAAGGAGGCGCUCUUGUUAACCUAUGAUGUGAAUAAGGACAGGCGCGGAGUGCCGCGGUCCUCCACAAUGCAGCAGAUCGUUUUGGCGUCUGGUCUUUUUUGUGCACGAGCGGCGAGCGAUCCGUGUCAAUUCUGGCAGGAAGUUACAUCAAAAUACAUGAGAAAAUACAGUUAUUUUCAAAAAAGAACCCAUUUUUCACAAUAAAACACUGCGAUUGACCAAUGCGGUCAUGUUUUUGUUUCUAAACAGACUGUAGAGAUGAAAAUAUUCAUACAAUCACAAUAACAACACACAGUAUUAGUAGAGGGCCAAAUCCGGAGCGGGGGUGGGGCUGGGUUAAAAAAAACAAAAAAAAAAAAACCAAGAGAGAGAUAGAGAGCAGUUGGCGCUCGAGCAGAAAUGCCUGUUGACCGUCGUGAAAAAAUGCGCGUCUGGUGUGAAUUGCAGGACAGCGGAUGCUGCGCACUCUGCUCCGCGGCGUUUCCGCGACCAGUGUGACCUACCUAGCGUAGGUUCACACUGGUGCGAACCUCCCUAUGUGAAUUCUUCCCUUUUCCCUACCCCUCCAUUUGUAGUGCAAGUGGUGUCCAAAAAUUUUUUUUUUUUAAAGAUCUCAACAAGAAGAAGAUUACAUUUCAAUCUAAGUAAUGACUUUUUGUUGUAGCACGACCUUUUUAAAGUUAUAAAAACGCUGUUCUUAUGUAUAUUCGAGCGCUGGAAGAUCCACGCUAACGCUAGCUGAUAGGCAACUAUUGAUGACAUCAUCGAGCGAUCCAAGUUAACUUGUAGGGCUAAAUGUAGGGAAAGGGAGAAGGAAGGAAUUUAGGUCUAAUGUGGCUCCAACUUCUGAAUCUCAGAGAUAAAGACAUCAUCAUGAUCGUCAACAUGAACAGGCAAACCAACAGUGACUCCGUGAUUUGCAGAAAGUAAUUAUUAACGGGCUUCAACAACCUCCACCUCUGUCCUCUGACUCCUGCACAUCAUGAGGAGGCAAUUAACAGUUGUUCCCAGAGUCUGUGCCAUGCAGAUGUGCAGACACAUCCACGUGACGGGGACAGAUGUGUACGCACUCGCAGGGUUUGACCACACGCGCCGCGGCGUCGGUGUAGCUGAGGAUGCUCUGACACGUGCACGGCCGCGCUCGCCACACUCUGAGGGACACAUCAACGGAAUUUAAUGAGGGAACAUGUAAUCAUCCCUCCACCUCACCGGGAGAGCUGUUACCUUUUGGUGUGAUAAGAUAUUAAAAAUUCACACUGUUUCUGCAAA